Acanthosepion pharaonis is the source of this 103-nucleotide non-coding RNA. The record is from the annotation of a GenBank genome assembly. NCBI's taxonomy places the organism in Eukaryota, Metazoa, Mollusca, Cephalopoda, Sepiida, Sepiidae.
UCACGCUGGAACACAGGUUCCCGUACGUUCACUGAAGUUAAGCAACGCCGAGCCUGGUCAGUUCCUAGAUGGCUGACUGCUUCGGAAUGCCAGGUGUUGUAAG